CCGGCGCGGCGGCGGCCGGCAGCGGCGACCCUCUGGAGGACUUCUGCAAGGACAACCCCGAGACCGACGAGUGCAAGGUGUACGAAGCAUGAGGCCAGGGUUCUUUCCACGACGAAACGUACAGCACGGGCGCGAGGGUUCUUUCCAUAGAGAAUAAUAUACAGAUUAUUCGACGAAAGAGACGUAUGUUAUAUAUAUAUAUGAGUUGUAUGCAGUCACCGAACUGGCGGUACAGGCUUCCGCUUUCCAUUUCCU
This 255-nucleotide long non-coding RNA is filed under the name Zea mays. RNAcentral's name for it is "long non-coding RNA (ZMAY_LNC001811)". The record is from RNAcentral. Lineage: Eukaryota; Viridiplantae; Streptophyta; Magnoliopsida; Poales; Poaceae.